This 75-nucleotide transfer RNA is filed under the name Candidatus Rokuibacteriota bacterium. RNAcentral's name for it is "Candidatus Rokubacteria bacterium (sediment metagenome) tRNA-Met". It matches the Rfam family "tRNA". Rfam says of the family: Transfer RNA (tRNA) molecules are approximately 80 nucleotides in length. Their secondary structure includes four short double-helical elements and three loops (D, anti-codon, and T loops). Lineage: Bacteria; Candidatus Rokuibacteriota. The record is from RNAcentral.
GGGCCCAUAGCUCAACGGCAGAGCGGCCGGUUCAUACCCGGUUGGUUCCUGGUUCGAGUCCAGGUGGGCCCACCC